GGGGAAUAUUGGACAAUGGGCGAAAGCCUGAUCCAGCCAUGCCGCGUGAGUGAUGAAGGCCCUAGGGUUGUAAAGCUCUUUCAGUGGGGAAGAUAAUGACGGUACCCACAGAAGAAGCCCCGGCUAACUUCGUGCCAGCAGCCGCGGUAAUACGAAGGGGGCUAGCGUUGUUCGGAAUUACUGGGCGUAAAGCGCGCGUAGGCGGACUUUUAAGUCAGGGGUGAAAUCCCGGGGCUCAACCCCGGAACAGCCUUUGAUACUGGAGGUCUAGAGGCCGAGAGAGGUGAGUGGAAUUCCGAGUGUAGAGGUGAAAUUCGUAGAUAUUCGGAGGAACACCAGUGGCGAAGGCGGCUCACUGGCUCGGUACUGACGCUGAGGUGCGAAAGCGUGGGGAGCAAAC
RNAcentral lists this ribosomal RNA (400 nucleotides) under uncultured bacterium. RNAcentral's name for it is "bacterial SSU rRNA". It matches the Rfam family "Bacterial small subunit ribosomal RNA", at positions 356 to 773 of the family's 1533-position model. The record is from RNAcentral.